GCGGGUGUAGUUCAAUGGUAGAACUUCAGCUUCCCAAGUUGACAGCGCGGGUUCGAUUCCCGUCACCCGCUCCA
Molecule: transfer RNA, 74 nt
Filed under: Actinomyces respiraculi
Lineage: Bacteria; Bacillati; Actinomycetota; Actinomycetes; Actinomycetales; Actinomycetaceae
Description: Actinomyces sp. ZJ750 tRNA-Gly
Rfam family: tRNA
About the family: Transfer RNA (tRNA) molecules are approximately 80 nucleotides in length. Their secondary structure includes four short double-helical elements and three loops (D, anti-codon, and T loops). Further hydrogen bonds mediate the characteristic L-shaped molecular structure. tRNAs have two regions of fundamental functional importance: the anti-codon, which is responsible for specific mRNA codon recognition, and the 3' end, to which the tRNAs corresponding amino acid is attached (by aminoacyl-tRNA synthetases). tRNAs cope with the degeneracy of the genetic code in two manners: having more than one tRNA (with a specific anti-codon) for a particular amino acid; and 'wobble' base-pairing, i.e. permitting non-standard base-pairing at the 3rd anti-codon position.
Source: RNAcentral